RNAcentral lists this ribosomal RNA (253 nucleotides) under uncultured bacterium. RNAcentral's name for it is "partial 16S ribosomal RNA". It matches the Rfam family "Bacterial small subunit ribosomal RNA", at positions 524 to 776 of the family's 1533-position model. The record is from RNAcentral.
UACGAAGGGGGCUAGCGUUGCUCGGAAUGACUGGGCGUAAAGGGCGCGUAGGCGGACUGCACAGUCAGGCGUGAAAUUCUUGGGCUUAACCUGGGGACUGCGUCUGAGACGUGUGAUCUAGAGUGAGGAAGAGGGUCGUGGAAUUUCCAGUGUAGAGGUGAAAUUCGUAGAUAUUGGAAAGAACACUGGUGGCGAAGGCGGCGACCUGGUCCUUGACUGACGCUGCGGCGCGAAAGCGUGGGGAGCAAACAGG